RNAcentral lists this ribosomal RNA (429 nucleotides) under Actinomycetes bacterium. Its description in RNAcentral is "Actinobacteria bacterium partial 16S ribosomal RNA". It matches the Rfam family "Bacterial small subunit ribosomal RNA", at positions 355 to 776 of the family's 1533-position model. The record is from RNAcentral. Lineage: Bacteria; Bacillati; Actinomycetota; Actinomycetes.
UAGGGAAUCUUCCGCAAUGGGCGAAAGCCUGACGGAGCAACGCCGCGUGAGUGAUGAAGGUCUUCGGAUCGUAAAACUCUGUUAUUAGGGAAGAACAAAUGUGUAAGUAACUAUGCACGUCUUGACGAUACCUAAUCAGAAAGCCACGGCUAACUACGUGCCAGCAGCCGCGGUAAUACGUAGGUGGCAAGCGUUAUCCGGAAUUAUUGGGCGUAAAGCGCGCGUAGGCGGUUUUUUAAGUCUGAUGUGAAAGCCCACGGCUCAACCGUGGAGGGUCAUUGGAAACUGGAAAACUUGAGUGCAGAAGAGGAAAGUGGAAUUCCAUGUGUAGCGGUGAAAUGCGCAGAGAUAUGGAGGAACACCAGUGGCGAAGGCGACUUUCUGGUCUGUAACUGACGCUGAUGUGCGAAAGCGUGGGGAUCAAACAGG